RNAcentral lists this long non-coding RNA (518 nucleotides) under Amborella trichopoda. Its description in RNAcentral is "long non-coding RNA (ATRI_LNC000490)". The record is from RNAcentral. Lineage: Eukaryota; Viridiplantae; Streptophyta; Magnoliopsida; Amborellales; Amborellaceae.
CGGCUUGGAAAUAUGUCAAACUAAAUCCGAAAGAUAGAAAUUGUGUGAUUUGCAUGCUCAGUGGAAAUACUUAUAUGGGUGGUAUUUUUCGACAAAAAAAAACACUUCGCCGGAAUUUCUGAGAAUGUAAGAGCGUGCCCACAAGCUAUUGAUGAAAUAAAUAAGGAGAUUAGAGAAUACAUGGAUAGAUUGAAAAAAAAUAAAGAGAAGAAAAAAAUGAAAAGAAAAGAAUUACUUUAUGAUAUGGAGUUAUUUGAUGAUGAUGAUGAUGAUUAUGAUGAUGAUGAUGAUAUAUCUGAAGUUGCAAUGAGGCAAAGGGGUACUCGAACUCCAAUAUCAAGAGAGAGGGUUAUAAAUAUUGGUGGUAGUGUUAAAAAUAGAACACCUCUCUCUAGGGGGCUAAUGGAUGUUUUUUUCGCCCCUAGCCCCGAAAUUGUGGUUUAGGAGACGAAAAAAAAAAAACAAACUACAAUUGAAAAUAGAUACAAGAAAGAACGGAGGAAGUCGGUGUGUAAGUG